Molecule: ribosomal RNA, 253 nt
Filed under: uncultured bacterium
Lineage: Bacteria
Description: partial 16S ribosomal RNA
Rfam family: Bacterial small subunit ribosomal RNA
Source: RNAcentral
UACAGAGGUGGCGAGCGUUAUUCGGAAUUAUUGGGCGUAAAGGGCGCGUAGGCGGCCAAGUAAGUCCCGGGUGAAAUCCCUCGGCUCAACCGAGGAACUGCCUUGGAAACUGCAUGGCUUGAGGCCGGGAGAGGGUAGCGGAAUUCCCAGUGUAGCGGUGAAAUGCGUAGAUACUGGGAGGAACACCGGUGGCGAAGGCGGCUACCUGGACCGGUUCUGACGCUGAGGCGCGAAAGCGUGGGGAGCAAACAGG